UAAGUUAUUACAUCAUUUGCUUACUACAAAUUGAUACAUUAUUUUCUUUUCAUUACCCAAACCCCUAGGCUAUGCCGACUCGGGAUACCACUAUCUCUGGUCUCUGGGGUAGGGCGCUAUCUAUGGAGCUACGCCCUUGCAUCGCGCCACCGCGCCGCUCACGUGCGAACCUGUAGCACCCCAAAACAACGUGGGGUGAGAACCAACUCCAUGGUUCCCAGUGGGUACGGCCACCCAAGG
Molecule: long non-coding RNA, 240 nt
Filed under: Ananas comosus (pineapple)
Lineage: Eukaryota; Viridiplantae; Streptophyta; Magnoliopsida; Poales; Bromeliaceae
Description: long non-coding RNA (ACOM_LNC039365)
Source: RNAcentral